RNAcentral lists this ribosomal RNA (354 nucleotides) under Sciomesa gnosia. RNAcentral's name for it is "partial 12S small subunit ribosomal RNA". The record is from RNAcentral. Lineage: Eukaryota; Metazoa; Arthropoda; Insecta; Lepidoptera; Noctuidae.
AAAAUUUAAAAUUAAAAUAUUAAAAUAGUAGAUAAAAUAUUUGUUGAAACUUAAAUAAUUUGGCGGUAUUUUAGUUCAUUUAGAGGAAUCUGUUUAAUAAUUGAUAUUCCACGAAUAAAUUUACUUAAUUUAUAAUUUUGUAUAUCGUUGUUAAAAAAAUAUUUUUUAAUGAGAUUAAUAUUUAAAAAUUAAAAUAUAAAUUUAAAUCAGAUCAAGAUGCAGAUUACAAUUAAGAAUAUAAUGGAUUACAAUAAAUUUAUUUAAAUGGAUUUUAAUUUUUAAUGGAGUUAAUUGAAAGUGGAUUUAAAUGUAAUUUUAUUUAAUUUAAUAAAAUGAUUAAAAAUUAAAAUAUGU